RNAcentral lists this ribosomal RNA (478 nucleotides) under uncultured organism. RNAcentral describes it as "partial 16S ribosomal RNA". It matches the Rfam family "Bacterial small subunit ribosomal RNA", at positions 331 to 800 of the family's 1533-position model. The record is from RNAcentral.
GUACACUCCUGCGGGAGGCAGCAGUGGGGAAUUUUGGACAAUGGGGGCAACCCUGAUCCAGCAAUGCCGCGUGAGUGAAGAAGGCCUUCGGGUUGUAAAGCUCUUUUGUCAGGGAAGAAACGGUGGUGGCGAAUAACUACUACUAAUGACGGUACCUGAAGAAUAAGCACCGGCUAACUACGUGCCAGCAGCCGCGGUAAUACGUAGGGUGCAAGCGUUAAUCGGAAUUACUGGGCGUAAAGCGUGCGCAGGCGGUUGUGUAAGUCAGAUGUGAAAUCCCCGGGCUCAACCUGGGAAUUGCAUUUGAGACUGCACGGCUAGAGUGUGUCAGAGGGGGGUAGAAUUCCACGUGUAGCAGUGAAAUGCGUAGAUAUGUGGAGGAAUACCGAUGGCGAAGGCAGCCCCCUGGGAUAACACUGACGCUCAUGCACGAAAGCGUGGGGAGCAAACAGGAUUAGAAACCCCUGUAGUCCCAUGA